AACGAACGCUGGCGGCAGGCUUAACACAUGCAAGUCGAGCGAGACCUUCGGGUCUAGCGGCGGACGGGUGAGUAACGCGUGGGAACGUGCCCUUCUCUACGGAAUAGCCCCGGGAAACUGGGAGUAAUACCGUAUACGCCCUUUGGGGGAAAGAUUUAUCGGAGGAGGAUCGGCCCGCGUUGGAUUAGGUAGUUGGUGGGGUAAUGGCCCACCAAGCCGACGAUCCAUAGCUGGUUUGAGAGGAUGAUCAGCCACACUGGGACUGAGACACGGCCCAGACUCCUACGGGAGGCAGCAGUGGGGAAUCUUAGACAAUGGGGGCAACCCUGAUCUAGCCACGCCGCGUGAGUGAUGAAGGCCUUAGGGUUGUAAAGCUCUUUCAGCUGGGAAGAUAAUGACGGUACCAGCAGAAGAAGCCCCGGCUAACUCCGUGCCAGCAGCCGCAGUAA
RNAcentral lists this ribosomal RNA (449 nucleotides) under uncultured bacterium. RNAcentral's name for it is "partial 16S ribosomal RNA". It matches the Rfam family "Bacterial small subunit ribosomal RNA", at positions 29 to 523 of the family's 1533-position model. The record is from RNAcentral.